This 1005-nucleotide ribosomal RNA is filed under the name uncultured bacterium. RNAcentral describes it as "bacterial SSU rRNA". It matches the Rfam family "Bacterial small subunit ribosomal RNA", at positions 356 to 1376 of the family's 1533-position model. The record is from RNAcentral.
GGGGAAUAUUGGACAAUGGGCGAAAGCCUGAUCCAGCGACGCCGCGUGAGCGAUGAAGUAUUUCGGUAUGUAAAGCUCUAUCAGCAGGGAAGAAAACGACGGUACCUGACUAAGAAGCCCCGGCUAACUACGUGCCAGCAGCCGCGGUAAUACGUAGGGUGCAAGCGUUAUCCGGAAUUAUUGGGCGUAAAGGGCUCGUAGGCGGUUCGUCGCGUCCGGUGUGAAAGUCCAUCGCUUAACGGUGGAUCCGCGCCGGGUACGGGCGGGCUUGAGUGCGGUAGGGGAGACUGGAAUUCCCGGUGUAACGGUGGAAUGUGUAGAUAUCGGGAAGAACACCAAUGGCGAAGGCAGGUCUCUGGGCCGUCACUGACGCUGAGGAGCGAAAGCGUGGGGAGCGAACAGGAUUAGAUACCCUGGUAGUCCACGCCGUAAACGGUGGAUGCUGGAUGUGGGGACCAUUCCACGGUCUCCGUGUCGGAGCCAACGCGUUAAGCAUCCCGCCUGGGGAGUACGGCCGCAAGGCUAAAACUCAAAGAAAUUGACGGGGGCCCGCACAAGCGGCGGAGCAUGCGGAUUAAUUCGAUGCAACGCGAAGAACCUUACCUGGGCUUGACAUGUUCCCGACAGCCGUAGAGAUACGGUCUCCCUUCGGGGCGGGUUCACAGGUGGUGCAUGGUCGUCGUCAGCUCGUGUCGUGAGAUGUUGGGUUAAGUCCCGCAACGAGCGCAACCCUCGCCCUGUGUUGCCAGCACGUCGUGGUGGGAACUCACGGGGGACCGCCGGGGUCAACUCGGAGGAAGGUGGGGAUGACGUCAGAUCAUCAUGCCCCUUACGUCCAGGGCUUCACGCAUGCUACAAUGGCCGGUACAACGGGAUGCGACACCGCGAGGUGGAGCGGAUCCCUUAAAACCGGUCUCAGUUCGGAUUGGAGUCUGCAACCCGACUCCAUGAAGGCGGAGUCGCUAGUAAUCGCGGAUCAGCAACGCCGCGGUGAAUGCGUUCCCG